AGGUCGUUUUGGGGGCAUUUUCGAAGUAGACCCUUGUAGCUCUCCCAUGCUUUAAACAACGACUCUCCCACUUGUUGCUCAAAGUUAGCGAUAGCCUUUUUGAGCUU
Small nucleolar RNA from Lactuca sativa (garden lettuce), 107 nucleotides. The record is from RefSeq and is a predicted model, not a curated record. NCBI's taxonomy places the organism in Eukaryota, Viridiplantae, Streptophyta, Magnoliopsida, Asterales, Asteraceae.